This 382-nucleotide ribosomal RNA is filed under the name uncultured bacterium. Its description in RNAcentral is "bacterial SSU rRNA". It matches the Rfam family "Bacterial small subunit ribosomal RNA", at positions 108 to 507 of the family's 1533-position model. The record is from RNAcentral.
GAGUAACACGUAAGUAAUCUACCCUCGAGGUGGGAAUAACAACCGGAAACGGUUGCUAAUACCGCAUAAUGCAGCGGCACCGCAAGGUGACAGUUGUUAAAGAUUUAUCGCUUGAGGAGGAGCUUGCGGCAGAUUAGCUAGUUGGUAGGGUAACGGCUUACCAAGGCUACGAUCUGUAACCGGUCUAAGAGGACGGUCGGUCACACUGACACUGAAUAACGGGUCAGACUCCUACGGGAGGCAGCAGUCGGGAAUUUUGGGCAAUGGGCGAAAGCCUGACCCAGCAACGCCGCGUGAAGGAUGAAGUAUUUCGGUAUGUAAACUUCGAAAGAAUAGGAAGAAUUAAUGACGGUACUAUUUAUAAGGUCCGGCUAACUACGUG